This 1009-nucleotide long non-coding RNA is filed under the name Macaca nemestrina (pig-tailed macaque). RNAcentral's name for it is "lncRNA (ENSMNEG00000046129.1)". The record is from RNAcentral. Lineage: Eukaryota; Metazoa; Chordata; Mammalia; Primates; Cercopithecidae.
CUAUUACAACUUCCUUUACUAUGAAAUGAAAUGGGGUUUCCCCGUUUUGUCCAGGCUGGUCUCGAACUCCUGAGUUCAGGCGAUCCGCCCACCUCGGCCUCCUAAACUGCUGGGAUCACAGGCGUGAGCCACUGUGUCUGGCCUGAUCUGCUACUUUCUAUGUGAAACAUAGGACAUAGUUUUUGUUUCUAUUUUGAAGCUCUAGUUAUCUGAAUACACAGUAGCUGGGUAAAUAGCUAAUAGACACACAUCUAAACUGACGUAUAGCACAGAUGCAACUCUCUGUAGUCUGAACUGCCGCCCAACUUCCCCGUACGGGGCAAUGGAAGAGUCUUAUUCGGACAAUUUGAACAAUCACCAGUUGUAUCAUUUUAAUAUGUCAUAUUAGUAUACAGAGACUAACAGCUGUUAGGCAAAUUAUUAUUUCCAGUCUUACUCCGUGACUUACAGCUUCCGUGAAUUAAAAUGAUAGAGGAGUCUUCACUGUUGCAAUUAAAGAUUUGGUCCAGGCGUGAGAAUAUCACUGAUUUUUAUUGUGACUUUAAGUCUGUAACACGAACGUAAAGAGUCAACUAUAGUUUCAUUCUCCGCAGAACGCGUUCUCCUCCCAGUCCUCAGCCUUGCUUUCCUGUUUGAAUCUCGCCACCUUUCCCGGUUUCAUCAAAGCCAGAUGCAGACGCCCCUAAGCCUGGGCGAGAUGCACGGGAGAAAGGCCCACUUCAAAGGGAUCUUCCUCCUUUUAAUCAGUAAGAAAUGGAAGAAUGGAGAAAGAGCGCGUGCAUGUGUCUCCCGGCUGCAGGCUCCUGUUUAAAGCUUUCCAGUUUGAGUCUUCAGAUAUCCAGAAGCUGUGAAGGGGCAGCCCGGUCACCAGACACAAGCCUUGCAAAGGGACAGCCUCCGUGGAAGAUGGACAGACCCACACGGGGGAGAACAAAUCAACGGGCAAAUGAAGCAUCUGGCCAGCUGGGGAGCUCUGCUUUCCAUUUUAACUAAUAAACCAGCCUUCCGG